RNAcentral lists this ribosomal RNA (554 nucleotides) under Botryosphaeria dothidea. RNAcentral's name for it is "eukaryotic LSU rRNA". The stretch from base 181 to 334 matches the Rfam family "5.8S ribosomal RNA". Lineage: Eukaryota; Fungi; Ascomycota; Dothideomycetes; Botryosphaeriales; Botryosphaeriaceae. The record is from RNAcentral.
ACCCGGGGGUGAUCGGGGCUCGGUCGAUCUCCCACCCUUUGUGUACCUACCUCUGUUGCUUUGGCGGGCCGCGGUCCUCCGCGGCCGCCCCCCUCCCCGGGGGGGUGGCCAGCGCCCGCCAGAGGACCAUCAAACUCCAGUCAGUAAACGAUGCAGUCUGAAAAACAUUUAAUAAACUAAAACUUUCAACAACGGAUCUCUUGGUUCUGGCAUCGAUGAAGAACGCAGCGAAAUGCGAUAAGUAAUGUGAAUUGCAGAAUUCAGUGAAUCAUCGAAUCUUUGAACGCACAUUGCGCCCUUUGGUAUUCCGAAGGGCAUGCCUGUUCGAGCGUCAUUACAACCCUCAAGCUCUGCUUGGUAUUGGGCACCGUCCUUUGCGGGCGCGCCUCAAAGACCUCGGCGGUGGCGUCUUGCCUCAAGCGUAGUAGAACAUACAUCUCGCUUCGGAGCGCAGGGCGUCGCCCGCCGGACGAACCUUCUGAACUUUUCUCAAGGUUGACCUCGGAUCAGGUAGGGAUACCCGCUGAACUUAAGCAUAUCAAUAAGCGGAGGAA